This 502-nucleotide ribosomal RNA is filed under the name uncultured bacterium. RNAcentral's name for it is "bacterial SSU rRNA". It matches the Rfam family "Bacterial small subunit ribosomal RNA", at positions 9 to 532 of the family's 1533-position model. The record is from RNAcentral.
GAGUUUGAUCCUGGCUCAGAACGAACGCUGGCGGCGUGGAUAAGACAUGCAAGUCGAACGAGAGAAUUGCUAGCUUGCUAAUAAUUCUCUAGUGGCGCACGGGUGAGUAACACGUGAGUAACCUGCCCCCGAGAGCGGGAUAGCCCUGGGAAACUGGGAUUAAUACCGCAUAGUAUCGAAAGAUUAAAGCAGCAAUGCGCUUGGGGAUGGGCUCGCGGCCUAUUAGUUAGUUGGUGAGGUAACGGCUCACCAAGGCGAUGACGGGUAGCCGGUCUGAGAGGAUGUCCGGCCACACUGGAACUGAGACACGGUCCAGACACCUACGGGUGGCAGCAGUCGAGAAUCAUUCACAAUGGGGGAAACCCUGAUGGUGCGACGCCGCGUGGGGGAAUGAAGGUCUUCGGAUUGUAAACCCCUGUCAUGUGGGAGCAAAUUAAAAAGAUAGUACCACAAGAGGAAGAGACGGCUAACUCUGUGCCAGCAGCCGCGGUAAUACAGAGGU